Molecule: RNA transcript, 7215 nt
Organism: Hypanus sabinus (Atlantic stingray)
Lineage: Eukaryota; Metazoa; Chordata; Chondrichthyes; Myliobatiformes; Dasyatidae
Gene: scaf8
Gene name: SR-related CTD-associated factor 8
Exons: 22
Source: RefSeq, a predicted model, not a curated record
CCGUGCGGACGCUCUGGCUCGCUGCGCCCGCCGCCAUAUUGGCUGCUUUGCUGCACCGCGGUGAUAUGAGGGUGAAGCGCGGCCGUUGCGGCAUUUGACUCCGCGCCGAAAGUUCAGCUCCUGCCCCGGUCAUCCGACUCCAGCCUGCGAGCCCACACUUCCUUGCCUGCCUCCUUUCCCCGUUUAGGAGUCACCCGAACGGAGCGAGCGAAACGCCGAGCCAUGGAGGCCGUCAAAGCCUUUAAUAACGAGCUGUACUCUUUAAAUGAGUAUAAACCACCUAUCUCCAGGGCUAAAAUGAACCAGGUGACCAAGGCUGCCAUCAAGUCAAUUAAGUUCUACAAACAUGUGGUACAGAGUGUGGAAAAGUUUAUUCAAAGGUGUAAACCAGAAUACAAAGUCCCAGGGCUGUAUGUUAUCGACUCAAUUGUGCGCCAGUCCCGUCAUCAGUUUGGUCCAGAAAAGGAUGUGUUUGCUCCCAGAUUUUGCAAGAACAUCAAUACAACUUUCCAGAACUUGUACAAAUGUCCUGCUGAUGACAAGAGCAAAGUGGUGCGGGUACUGAACCUGUGGCAGAAGAAUGGUGUAUUCAAAAGUGAGGUCAUACAGCCACUUCUGGAUUUGGCAACAGGGAUUCCACCGCCCUCUGUUACCCCUGCUAUUGCCAGUACUGCAGCAACUGUGAGCAGCAACACACCAGGAACGCCAGCCACACCUGCCACUCCAGCUAACGUGGUGCAGAAUUUACCUGAUGCAUGGGCCUCCAUCUCUCAGCUUUCUAACUCUGAUACAAUUGCUGCUGUUGCGCAACUUCUUCAGAGUCCCCAAGGCCAACAGCUCCAGCAGUUGGUACAGAAUCUUCAGAUGCAGCAACAGAAACCUCAGCCAUCUCUACUUCAGGCUCUUGAUGCUGGGCUUGUUGUCCAACUCCAGGCGCUCACAGCGCAGCUGACAGCAGCGGCAACAGCAAAUACUCUCAACCCAUUGGAACCUCGACUUAACUUUAACAAGAAACUCCUAGAUAGAUUUGAAUAUGAUGAAGAGCAUGAUCCUUCAGAUGAAGCUAAGAAAGAAACAUCUACAUCCCAGCUACCUCUUGUAACUGAGACCAUGAACACAUCACUUUUUCAGCAGCUGGCUGAGCAGUUCCAGCAGCAAAACUUUGAGCAGCUUCAGCAGCAGCUGAUGGAGCAACAACAGACACAGCAGAAUGCUGCAUUGGAUAGUCAAGAGGUAACUUUUGGAUCCGAACAAUCAGCCACUCCAUCUCAGGGGAGCACUCACCAUCAGCAACAAGAGCAGGAAGUAAGAGUAGAGGAUCCACUUGAGCAACAGCAGCAGGAUAUGGAUAUUGAUGCACCUGAUGGUCAAGACCUCAUUGAAGAAGAAAUAUUUCAGCAUGAAGAAAAGAAACCUUUAGUGCGCUCGAGAUCGAGAACACGGUCAAGAUCCCGUUCAAGGUCACCACGAAAGAAAAGGUCCAGAUCACGGUCAGGGUCUCGUAAACGUAAGCAUCGGAAACGUUCACGGUCAAGAUCAAAAGAGAGAAAAAGAAAAUCAUCGCGUUCGUAUUCUAGUGAAAGAAGAGCAAGAGAACGUGAAAAAGAACGCCAGAAAAAGGGUCUACCUCCUGUUCGAUCAAAGACCCUUAGUGUAUGCAGUACUACACUAUGGGUUGGUCAGGUGGACAAAAAGGCAACACAACAAGAUAUAACAAAUCUCUUUGAGGAAUUUGGUCAGAUUGAAUCCAUAAAUAUGAUACCUCCACGAGGGUGUGCAUAUGUCUGCAUGGUUCAUCGACAAGAUGCUUUUCGUGCUCUUCAAAAAUUAAGCACUGGAUCCUUUAAAAUGGGGUCCAAAAUUAUUAAGAUUGCUUGGGCUUUAAACAAAGGUGUGAAACCUGAAUAUAAGCAAUUCUGGGAUGUUGACCUUGGAGUCACAUAUAUACCCUGGGAAAAAUUAAAAUUAGAUGAUUUAGAAGGCUUCUCUGAAGGAGGCAUGAUCGACCAAGAAACUGUUAAUAAUGAGUGGGAAUCUAGGAGUUCUGAGUCUGUAAAGGAGAAUGUGUCCCAACCUGUAACUACUGAUAACACUCAACAAACUUCGGAGGGAGAGACAUUCACUCAACCUGUCACUAUACUGCCUGUUCAACAGAAGCAAAUGGAUGAUAUAAAGUUUAUUCCACAAAUGCCAGUGACUCCAACAGUUUCAGCAAUUAGUAUGGUACAGCCACCUGCGUUUCCUGUGUCAAUGCCCAUACCUCCACCAGGCUUCAACCCAGCUAUUCCACCACCUCCAUUCUUAAGGCAUACUUUCAAUCCUUCACAGCCUCCUCCAGGUUACUUACCACCUCCCCCUGUUCCACCUCCAGUUGUUGGACCUUCAAUUCCACCAGUACAGACCUCUCUAGUUUGUCCGCCUCUCUCAAACACUCAAGAGAGUGCAAAGGAUUCCUCGUUUGGAAGUCUCCUUUCACAAAUAGGCCACAGCAGUCUCCCAACUCCUAAUAUCCCACCAGGGAGUUUGUUUAAUCCAGUUGGUGCACAGCCUCUCUCGACUGGUCCAAGUAGAUCAAAGGAUCUGGCAGCAUCACGUACAGGCAACCAGACAUCAUCAGUUGCUACAACAUCCACGUCUGUACCAGGAGCUCAAAGUGCUGUAUCAAGUGGGUCUGUUCUGGGUAUGCAGCCUUCAACACCUGCACCAGGACCACCAACUUUUCCUCCACCAAGCAUGGCUGGAUCAAGGCUACCUGGAGUGCUCCCUUUGGACGUACGCCCUGGAUUGAUGCCGCCCUCACCAGGGCAACGGUUUCCAUUGCUGAUACCACCUCAGCCAAACAUGCCCCCUUCAGUAUCAAUUGAUGGUCCUCUUCAGUCAGGAACCAGAGCUCCUUUUCCACCAGGAAAUUCUUUCAAUAGGCUUGAAGGUACAUUCACAAGAUCCGGAGUCCCUAGUGUUGAGAGCAGCAGAAAUUCAAGCCAUGGUACAGGAGAAGAAAGACGUAAUGCUGGAAAUGAUAAUGCUUUUCAGCGAGACAACAUACAACAAGAAGGUGACCGAGAUUAUCGGUUCCCACCAGUUGAUAAUAGAGACAAUCUCGGCAGACGUGAUCAAUUUGGUUUUGGUCCUGACCAAAGAUGGGGCUCAAGAGAUUUUGAUGAACGUGAGCGCCGUGGUGUGCCCUUUGGUGGGCCUAAAAAUUUUCAUGAUGAUCACGAAAGGUUUGGCGGAAGAAAUUUCAGAUUUGAUGGCAGAAGUGGCCCAAUGUGGAGCCGAGGUUUUGAUCAAGAAACACACAGAGAUUUUGAUGACCGCAGCAGGCCUUGGGAACGUCAGAGAGAUCGUGAUGACCGUGAUUUUGGCUUUCGCCGAGAUGUAAAUGGCAGCCGUUAUGGGAGAGAUAGAGAGCAAGAUCAUUGGGUUCCUCCACGGCAUAGGUUUGACUAUUAUCAAGGGACCACUGAUAGUGAAAAAUCUGAUGAUAGGCCCCGUGUAAAUGGUGAUUUCUCAGAAACAGACAGCCAGCCGCCAAACAAGGAGCUUGCAAACAACAACGCAGAAGUAUCUGUGAGUCUUGCAUCUUCAUCAGAUGAAAGUGAGAAGGAUGAAUUAGAAAAUCAACCUGUAACAGAAAACACUGAUACUGAAGGGACAUAAUGCCACAUACUAUGACAAUUUGUAUAGGUGGUCAUCUCUGCAGUGGAUAAAAUGAUUGACUGGAUCUUGAGAAAAGUCACUGUUGUCUGCAAGACAGAAUUUAAUCCGAUGUACAUCUUUCACUCUAAUAACUGAAGUUAAUGUGUACAACUGACCUGUACAGACUGUUGUUCUUUAGUUGAACACGGUAAUUUGUUUACAUCUAAUAGUGUCACUAUCACUCCUGGGGCGAACGCGUCAUGGUUUCCAAUAUGGUAGAUGAAUGUGAAGACAAAGCAUGGAGGUAGCAGUGAGUCCAAGGGUCCUCUGGAAGAAAUGUGGCAGAAUACACACUGAAAAGAGCUAGUUUCAACCUGUGGAAAACUAGCAGAAGUCAUCUGUCUUUGCACAUGCAAGAGUAAAAGUACCAACCUAAUAAGAGCUAAAAUUUGUGGAUCCCAGUGACCUGGAGGCAACCAGAGACUGUUCACAAGAUUGGAGGAAGUGUAAUAACAUAUGCAUUUUGUAAAACACACAAUAAUUUUGUCAGACUCCAACACUAAGGCAAUAUAUUUGGGCCUAGUUAGCCAUGCAGAUUGACUGUAAGCAUAUGGAGAAUAUUCUGGUCAGUUCUCUGCUUCACUCAAUCACCAGAUGGUCAACUGAAUGGAUUCACAUGGCAACUCAAAAAUAUUGCCAUACAAUUGUGGAACCUCUCCAGAGAUAGAUCCCGUAAAUGUUUCCAACUCAGAAUCUGUACACAAGUAUUAAGCCUGUAUUGUACAGUAUGUCUUAAUUUAUAAAUUUUAUUUUUGUAGCAAUGCACACUGCCAUGUAAAUUAUGCUUGGAUUAAGUAAAAAUGAAAACAUAUUCUAUUUUUUACCUAAAGAACUGUAAAUGGAAUCAUUUGUUUUCAGAACUUCUAAACCAAAUUCCUUUCACAUAUAAGUCCUGUAAAAUUGAUCUUUAAUUGAUCUUAGAAUUCAUAAUGUAGGUACAGGAAACAGAAAAUGUAGCAAAUGUACAUCUGGUCAGGCAGCGUUUUCUAUAAAGAGGCAAAGGAUGAAAUGGAACUAUAGAUCGGGACAACUGUGUGUUAUAAUGAUGUUGUGCUGUUGAGCAGAGAGUUUGCGAGUAUUUAGCUCACAGAUUGCAAUGCAAUAUGUGGUGUUGCAAUUGAGCAUUGCUAAGUUGCAGAGCAGACUCAAUGGGCCAUAUGGUUUAAUUCUGCUCCUAUGUCUUAUAGUCUAAAUAGACCUUUUGGGAAGGAAAUAGGUAGUGUGGCCUAUUUGUAACACAGAUCAAAUUGGUUAGCAUGGGUGUUGAGGAGUUGACAGUAAAUCAGAGGAUUUAUAAAAAACUUUCGGAAAUUAAGAAGCUUUCGAAAAGCAUUUUGUUUGUAGUUUUAAUGGUGUGCACUUAUCAAACCAUAUUGACAGGCUAGAUAAAGCAGUCCUGAUGAAGGGUCCUGGCCCAAAACAUCGACUGUUUAUUUCUGUCCAUAGAUGCUGCCUGACUUGUUGAGUUUCUUCAGCAUUUUGUGUGUGUUCCUCAAGAUUUCCAGCACUGUGUUUAAAUAAAGCAGCUAGUCUUUUCUGAUGCAUUAUGUACACUUAAAAGCACUUCCUUUUGACUUGCUAUAAUUUGGAGGAUGGUAGGGGGUAGGGUGCUGGAGUGCAGCACCUCUGUAAAUUGUCAUCCUUUCUGGAAGCUCUGGAUGCAGAAUACUGCACAGAUGACUUUGUAACGCGUAAUGAUUAUUUGAAGACCACUUAACUUGAAUCAGUAACUCAUUAGGGAUGCCCCAUCUUCUGUCAAUCUCAAUGAGAUUUAUUCAUUGACAACUCCUCCUGCUCUAAUAUGGAGUUUAUAUUGUUUGAACAAUAUCUACCAGUCAUGAUCAAAGCUAUAGCCACCCUUGAGGCAAAGUUAUAUUUCUUUGAUGUUUCUGUUAUCUAUGUUGAUUAAGUUCUCAGAUAACUUAAAGAAAUGUUGCUUUGGUGUAACAUCGUUAAACAGCUGAUGGAAUACAGAACAGAACAAAUACUGUCACAAUGGAAGAGAAAGAAAGAGUGAUUUUAUUUAUAAUUAAAAUGGGUAGGUAAAAUGUGAUAGUAUUAAACUGGAGUGAGCGAUUUGUGAAGCUGAGGAAACAUCAUCACUGGGAAGAGUCCUAAUAAUGAUGAGCUUGGCUUACAUUUCUGAAUGUGUUUUGAGACAUUUGAAUUGGAAAUGGUUUAUUAUUGUCUCUAAAGACCAUAAUACAUAGGAACUAAAUUAGGCCAUUUGACCCAUCGAUUCUGCUCCACAUGUAUGAGGUACCCAAACAAUAUACUGUGAAAAGCUUGCCUUGAGCACAAUUCAUACAAAUCAUAUCAUUGUACAAUGCAUUAAAGUAGUACAAGGUAAAACAAUAAUAGAUUGCAAAAUAAGUUUAACAGCUACAGAGAAAGUGCAGUACAAGUAAACAAUUAGAUGCAAGAUCAUAACAAGACUGAUCAGGAGAUCCAGAGGCCAUCUUAUCAUCCUAGGUUUACAAGAAAAUGACUUCUCAAAGAUGCAGAGAAGUACAUAGAACUCUUUUCUUAAUCGAAUUUUCAUAAUUUAGACUAAUGUUAUAUUAUUCAGUGUAACUGCUAUAUAUUGUGUUAAUGAUGACUUUUGAAAUCAAGGAAAAUACAAAUAUAGUAAAUGUCCCUUUUAGCUUAUAGUGAAGUUUUGAGAAGUUCGCUGUGGGCUAUUAUCAUCUCUCUGACCUAGGAAUUAUUUCACAUAACACAACGUUUCUAAUGUACCAUCUAUAGGAACUGAAUCUGAAACUCAUUUGCCAAACAGGUUCCACUACCCUCUGUUUGGCUCAUACAGCCUGCUAAUUAGUUUUGUUUCUUGCAGAUGUAUGACUUAAGUAUGUACAGAGGUUGCUGAAAUAUACAGGGACAACAAAAGACAUGCAACAUAUGUAAGAGGGCGAGUCCCACAGAGACACUGUUGAGACCGGUUUCUGCAUUACUUAAAGGUUAUGAACCUAUUUUGAUCCAUGGCCAUUGAAUAUGGCAAGUUAAUCUUCUGUUAAGUCACCAUCUAGAUCUCUGAGUAAAAGAUAUUCUCAUCUCUGCUCUAGAUAUUCUGGAAAUGACUUGAGAAGGACACUUUUUUCUCCAGUUAUUGCAUAUAAAUGUCAGAUCAUCUGGAAAACUUCCGCUAGCCCUUGCCUUUCAUUGUUUCAGAGAAAACAAUCCCUUAACCAAGUUCUCCUCUUAAGCAAUCCUUCGAAACAUCCUGGUAAAUUGUAUCUGCACCCUUUCUUAAACCCUUUGCACCUUUCCAAAAAUACAGUGCCUUGAGUUAGCAACAUAAGUUCAGAUAAUUCCUAACUUGUGAUGGAUAAGAUAACCAAGAUCCCGUCGCUUUUAUGUUUUAUUAAAACGUGUAAUGCAUAUGGUUUUUUAUACACAUUGUUAUGGAUGAAUGAACAGAAAGACAUUGUUACUUUUAACAGACACCAAUGUCUGUUUGUUCUAAUAACAAUUUCAAAUUUGUGUCUUUUGCACUAAUCCAUGUUUCCAUAUUGGUCC